Molecule: long non-coding RNA, 444 nt
Filed under: Mytilus galloprovincialis (Mediterranean mussel)
Lineage: Eukaryota; Metazoa; Mollusca; Bivalvia; Mytilida; Mytilidae
Source: RNAcentral
AAUUUAUUUAUUUUAUAUAAUUUAAUUAAUUUUAUGUUUUUACACAUGGUGAGAUCCCCCUGAUCCACAAUAAACUUGCUCACUGUAUACUGUUCUGAUAAAUAAACAAAUGUCUUCACUGUCAUUCUUGUGAGGCGAAUUUCCUGCAGGUCUAGCGGACCGUCAUACGAGUACAAUCCUUUCCCGACAAAGGGACACACCAACCUUAUAGGGUGGAAACUAAUAUCUGUUUCCAUAAUACAUGAUUCAGGGUUCAUUUCAUACCCUAAACUAACAAUUACAAGCGAUAAACAUACGAACGUGAACAUGUUGUUUUCAAGAUUUUACAAAUUGCAUUGUGGGAUAUGUUUACAUAAGAUUAGAAUGGGAACAGUCGCCCCAUUAUUGUCUCGCCAUUUGGUCCGCAAUAACCCGACCCGACCUCUAAUUCUUAUUUUCACCCGA